This 122-nucleotide microRNA precursor is filed under the name Podarcis lilfordi (Lilford's wall lizard). The record is from RNAcentral. Lineage: Eukaryota; Metazoa; Chordata; Lepidosauria; Squamata; Lacertidae.
AACUAAGUUUGUUAUUGGUAUGAGCUUUCGUGUGCAUGCACACUUCUUCAGAUACACUUCUUCGGGUAUCUGAAGAAGUGUGCAUGCACACGAAAGCUCAUACCAAUAACAAACUUAGUUGG